GAUGAAGAACGCAGUGAAACGCGAUACGUAAUGUGAAUUGCAGAAUUCAGUGAAUCAUCGAAUCUUUGAACACACCUUGCGCCCCUCGGCAUUCCGAGGGGCAUGCCUGUUUGAGUGUCACGGAUCCUUCGAACCCCGCCGGUCUCCGACGAGCCGGCCGCCUGGGUUCGGUCCUGGGCGCUACGCCACCCCUCCGGGGCUGGCCUGCCUCAAAAGCAUCAGCUGGGCCUCGCGGCGUGGGCGGGCUCAGAUCGGCGUGAUAAGUCAUCUGCCGAGAGGGUGCCCGUCCGUCCCGCGGAUCGCGGUCCGCUCCCAACCCCUCCCCGCGCGCCGUCCCCCCCCGGGGAGCGCGCGGGGACGUUUCGACGCUCUGGCCUCAAAUCAGGUAGGACCACCCGCUGAACUUAAGCAUAUCAAUAAGCGGAGGA
RNAcentral lists this unclassified non-coding RNA (428 nucleotides) under soil metagenome. RNAcentral describes it as "partial contains 5.8S ribosomal RNA, internal transcribed spacer 2, and large subunit ribosomal RNA". The stretch from base 1 to 120 matches the Rfam family "5.8S ribosomal RNA", at positions 35 to 154 of the family's 154-position model. The record is from RNAcentral.